Molecule: ribosomal RNA, 1302 nt
Filed under: Agrotis munda
Lineage: Eukaryota; Metazoa; Arthropoda; Insecta; Lepidoptera; Noctuidae
Description: 16S ribosomal RNA
Source: RNAcentral
AAAAAAUUUUUAAAUAAAAAUAUUUAAUGGGGGUUAAAGUAUUUUUAUAGAAAAAAUUAAAUAAUUUAUAGUAAAUUAGUAUUGUGAAAGAAUUUUGAAAUAAUUGAAAUAAAAAAUUAUAUGAAAGUAAUUUUAAUUUAAUGUAUCUUGUGUAUCAGAGUUUAUUAAGAAAUAUUUUUAAAAAAAAAAUUCUCGAAUUUAAAAGAGAUAAUUAAUUAUUAAAGUUAUUGUAGCAUAAAUAUUUUAAAUAAUUAGUUGGAAAUGAAAUGUUAAUCGUUUUUAAAUAUAUCUAGUUUUUUUAGAAAAAAAUUUAAUUUUAUAUUAAUUUAUAAAAUAAUUAAUUAAUUAAUUAUUUUAUAAAUUAAUAUUAUAUUUUAAGGGAUAAGCUUUAAUUUAAAUUUAUAUAAAAUAUUUUAAUUUAAUUUUUGAAAUUUUUAUGAUUUAUAUUGUUAAAAAAAUUUAAUUUAUUAUAAAUAAUUUCAUUUAAAAAUAAAAUUUAAUAUAAUUUUUAUAUAUUUAUAAAAAAAAAUUAUUAAAUAAAAAAAAAUUGUUAUAAUGAUAAAAUUAGUAUAUAAUUAAAAAUUAAAAAUUAAUUUUUUAAUAAAAUUAAUUAAAAGGAAUUCGGCAAAAAUUUAUAUUCACUUGUUUAUCAAAAACAUGUCUUUUUGAAAAUAAUGUAAAGUCUAAUCUGCCCACUGAUUUUAAAAAAUUGAAGGGCUGCAGUAUUUUGACUGUACAAAGGUAGCAUAAUCAUUAGUCAUUUAAUUGAUGACUAGUAUGAAGGAUUGGAUGAAAUAUAAACUGUCUCUUAAUUAAAAUAUAGAAUUUAAUUUUUUAAUUAAAAAGUUAAAAUAAAUUAAAAAGACGAGAAGACCCUAUAGAGUUUUAUAAGUAAAUUAAUUAAGAUUCUUUAUUAAAUAAAAAAAAAAUUAAAAUUAAUUUAUUUAUUUUGUUGGGGUGACAAAAAAAUAAGUAAAACUUUUUUUAUAAAUAAAAACAUAUAUAAGUGAUUAAAUGAGCCAUUAAUAAUGAUUAAAAGAAAAAAUUACCUUAGGGAUAACAGCGUAAUUUUUUUUUUUAGUUCAUAUAAGAAAAAGAGUUUGCGACCUCGAUGUUGGAUUAAGAUAAAAUUUAAAUGCAGAAGUUUAAAAUUUUUGAUCUGUUCGAUCAUUAAAAUCUUACAUGAUCUGAGUUCAAACCGGUGUAAGCCAGGUUGGUUUCUAUCUUUUAAAAAUUAAAAUAUUUUAGUACGAAAGGAUUAAAUAUUUAAAUUAAAUUUAUUUUAAAUGAAUUUUAAUAAUU